RNAcentral lists this ribosomal RNA (403 nucleotides) under bacterium. Its description in RNAcentral is "partial 16S ribosomal RNA". It matches the Rfam family "Bacterial small subunit ribosomal RNA", at positions 355 to 776 of the family's 1533-position model. The record is from RNAcentral.
UGGGGAAUAUUGCACAAUGGGGGAAACCCUGAUGCAGCGACGCCGCGUGAACGAAGAAGGUAUUCGUAUCGUAAAGUUCUGUCCUAUGGGAAGAUAAUGACAGUACCAUAGAAGAAAGCUCCGGCUAAAUACGUGCCAGCAGCCGCGGUAAUACGUAUGGAGCGAGCGUUGUCCGGAAUCAUUGGGCGUAAAGGGUACGCAGGCGGUUUAAUAAGUCGAAUGUUAAAGAUCGGGGCUCAACCCCGCAAAGCAUUGGAAACUGAUAAACUAGAGUAGUGUGGAGGAGAGUGGAAUUCCUAGUGUAGUGGUGAAAUACGUAGAUAAGAGGAGGGAUACCAGUAGCGAAGGGGAGGCUCUGGACACAAACUGACGCUGCGGUACGAAAGGGUGGGGAGCGAACAGG